Molecule: ribosomal RNA, 322 nt
Filed under: uncultured eukaryote
Lineage: Eukaryota
Description: partial 18S ribosomal RNA
Rfam family: Eukaryotic small subunit ribosomal RNA
Source: RNAcentral
CCCUCAGAUGUUCUGGGCCGCACGCGUGCUACACUGAGUGGAUCAGCGGGUCAGGUUGCGCGAAAGUGUUUCCUAAUCUUUAAAUCCGCUCGUGAUGGGGAUUGACGGUUGCAAUUUUCCGUCAUGAACGAGGAAUACCUUGUAAGCGCGGGUCAUCAUCCCGCGCUGAAUACGUCCCUGCCCUUUGUACACACCGCCCGUCGCUCCUACCGAUUGAGUGGUCCGGUGAGGCUUUGGGAUCUGAGCGGAAAGAGCGUUUCGCUGUUUCUGCCCGGAAAACUCAGUCGAACCUUACCAUUUAGAGGAAGGAGAAGUCGUAACA